UUCUUAGCAGUUGCUCCUUUCACUAAACAGUCUUCAUCUUUAUCUUGGUCAGGAGUUUAGGGGAGGAAAUGUCUCUACUCCUCCAUUCUGAUUACACAGCUGUAAAAUGCUAAAGUCUAUAGUCAAGUUUGAAAAUGAGAAGACCCUAGAUAGCUACAUGUUUAAGAGAAAACAACAAUUGCAGCUCAAAAACAUGCUCUGGGAGAUCAUUAGCACACAAAAGGAAAGUUCAGUAAAACAAACCCAUCUCUACUGGCUCAGGGCCAAUCUGAGACUGGAAUGAACUUACUCAGAAUGAAGGACCACCACAAACCUCACCACCUUUCACUCCCAAAGCAAGGCACAUUUCUGAGGCAAAUCCCUGAGGGAAGCUGCCUGGAACCCUGGGCAGGGGAGGCAAGAGGACAAAACCGUCUGGGAGGAAGUAGCACAAGAGAAGUUGAGACGGGACUGUGAGACAGAGGACUUAGUCUGAGGUGGGCAGAAGAACUACUGGUUUAGGUUUAUUUGAAUGUAUGGUGUGACCUUUUGUUAACCCAGAAGGGGAUUAAACUGGAGGGCCAGUCUAUGAAGGACUUAAAGAGAUGCAGGCCAUUGUGGGGACAAAAAAGUGACUACUAGAGGUGAAGUCCAUUGCAACAAUUUCCCCAGGCAUGAGGGGCAACAUAGCAGUGAUGAUCCACAAUAACAGAAUCUUCUAUCAUGAGUAGAGCUGAUUUUUAAAAAAAUUGAAAUGCUAUAUAUGUACCCCCUAAAAAUUUCAACCUAAAUUAAUUUUUUCAUGGAAACCUUUAAUUUUGGUAGCCUUUUUAAACAAAAAAAAAUGUACAAGCAUCAAGGUUCUUUUGUUUUGAUUUUUUUUCUUUUUUUCCUCUUCCAUUGCUUUCCCUCUAAAUGGAAAAAAGUGUGCAUUAGAGAGGGAGGUAAGGAAGAGAUGGGGCAAAAGAAAAACAUUUUUUUUAAAUACAAAACACUCUUCAGCUUUGAUUUUGUCAAAAAACUGAAAUUUAGUUACAUUUUGCAUUAAAUGGUUUUUGUUGUUGUUUUAAACUUUUCAUGGAACAUCUUAUUUCACUGUAUUUCUGAGUAUGCAGAAACAAUAUUUGAGAGUAAUAAAAGAGUAUGAUAAUGCACCCUAUAAAUACACUUGUAGUAGCUAUAGUCACACUGAGAUUUACCCAAGCACAGCACAGACAUAUAAUUCUAGUGAAACCAUUCUUUCUUUACAUCAAAAUAUUGUACAUCAAAAAGUGUUUAGCAGAGCUGAAUGAGCUCUCUAAUUCAACACAAAAAAAGUUAAUGAAAAUUUUAGUGCAAAUGUUCUACCAAAUUUGGUCAAAUGUUAG
Long non-coding RNA from Mauremys reevesii (Reeves's turtle), 1346 nucleotides. RefSeq lists it as uncharacterized. NCBI's taxonomy places the organism in Eukaryota, Metazoa, Chordata, Testudines, Geoemydidae. The record is from RefSeq and is a predicted model, not a curated record. The transcript has 2 exons.